GGUUAAGCGACUAAGCGUACACGGUGGAUGCCCUGGCAGUCAGAGGCGAUGAAGGACGUGCUAAUCUGCGAUAAGCGCCGGUAAGGUGAUAUGAACCGUUAUAACCGGCGAUUUCCGAAUGGGGAAACCCAGUGUGACUCGUCACACUAUCAUUAACUGAAUCCAUAGGUUAAUGAGGCGAACCGGGGGAACUGAAACAUCUAAGUACCCCGAGGAAAAGAAAUCAACCGAGAUUCCCCCAGUAGCGGCGAGCGAACGGGGAGGAGCCCAGAGCCUGAAUCAGCAUGUGUGUUAGUGGAAGCGUCUGGAAAGGCGCGCGAUACAGGGUGACAGCCCCGUACACAAAAGCGCAUGUGCUGUGAGCUCGAUGAGUAGGGCGGGACACGUGGUAUCCUGUCUGAAUAUGGGGGGACCAUCCUCCAAGGCUAAAUACUCCUGACUGACCGAUAGUGAACCAGUACCGUGAGGGAAAGGCGAAAAGAACCCCGGCGAGGGGAGUGAAAAAGAACCUGAAACCGUGUACGUACAAGCAGUGGGAGCCCCACCACUAAGCCAGUGGUGAACUCCACAUACGCAUCCUUUGCUGAGGAUACGGUUAACGGAGCGCAAGCGACGUUCAACCUCAAAAGAAGCAGAGGGGGCUUAGUGGUGGGGUGACUGCGUACCUUUUGUAUAAUGGGUCAGCGACUUAUAUUCUGUAGCAAGGUUAACCGAAUAGGGGAGCCGGAGGGAAACCGAGUCUUAAUUGGGCGUUAAGUUGCAGGGUAUAGACCCGAAACCCGGUGAUCUAGCCAUGGGCAGGUUGAAGGUUGGGUAACACUAACUGGAGGACCGAACCGACUAAUGUUGAAAAAUUAGCGGAUGACCUGUGGCUGGGGGUGAAAGGCCAAUCAAACCGGGAGAUAGCUGGUUCUCCCCGAAAGCUAUUUAGGUAGCGCCUCGUGAAUUCAUCUCCGGGGGUAGAGCACUGUUUCGGCUAGGGGGCCAUCCCGGCUUACCAACCCGAUGCAAACUGCGAAUACCGGAGAAUGUUAUCACGGGAGACACACGGCGGGUGCUAACGUCCGUCGUGAAGAGGGAAACAACCCAGACCGCCAGCUAAGGUCCCAAAGUCAUGGUUAAGUGGGAAACGAUGUGGGAAGGCCCAGACAGCCAGGAUGUUGGCUUAGAAGCAGCCAUCAUUUAAAGAAAGCGUAAUAGCUCACUGGUCGAGUCGGCCUGCGCGGAAGAUGUAACGGGGCUAAACCAUGCACCGAAGCUGCGGCAGCGACGCUUAUGCGUUGUUGGGUAGGGGAGCGUUCUGUAAGCCUGCGAAGGUGGCCUGUGAGGGUUGCUGGAGGUAUCAGAAGUGCGAAUGCUGACAUAAGUAACGAUAAAGCGGGUGAAAAGCCCGCUCGCCGGAAGACCAAGGGUUCCUGUCCAACGUUAAUCGGGGCAGGGUGAGUCGACCCCUAAGGCGAGGCCGAAAGGCGUAGUCGAUGGGAAACGGGUUAAUAUUCCCGUACUUGGUGUUACUGCGAAGGGGGGACGGAGAAGGCUAUGUUGGCCGGGCGACGGUUGUCCCGGUUUAAGCGUGUAGGUGUGUGUUCCAGGUAAAUCCGGUUCACUUUAACACUGAGGCGUGAUGACGAGGCACUACGGUGCUGAAGCAACAAAUGCCCUGCUUCCAGGAAAAGCCUCUAAGCAUCAGGUAACAUCAAAUCGUACCCCAAACCGACACAGGUGGUCAGGUAGAGAAUACCAAGGCGCUUGAGAGAACUCGGGUGAAGGAACUAGGCAAAAUGGUGCCGUAACUUCGGGAGAAGGCACGCUGACACGUAGGUGAAGUGAUUUACUCACGGAGCUGAAGUCAGUCGAAGAUACCAGCUGGCUGCAACUGUUUAUUAAAAACACAGCACUGUGCAAACACGAAAGUGGACGUAUACGGUGUGACGCCUGCCCGGUGCCGGAAGGUUAAUUGAUGGGGUUAUCCGUAAGGAGAAGCUCUUGAUCGAAGCCCCGGUAAACGGCGGCCGUAACUAUAACGGUCCUAAGGUAGCGAAAUUCCUUGUCGGGUAAGUUCCGACCUGCACGAAUGGCGUAAUGAUGGCCAGGCUGUCUCCACCCGAGACUCAGUGAAAUUGAACUCGCUGUGAAGAUGCAGUGUACCCGCGGCAAGACGGAAAGACCCCGUGAACCUUUACUAUAGCUUGACACUGAACAUUGAGCCUUGAUGUGUAGGAUAGGUGGGAGGCUUUGAAGUGUGGACGCCAGUCUGCAUGGAGCCGACCUUGAAAUACCACCCUUUAAUGUUUGAUGUUCUAACGUGGACCCGUGAUCCGGGUUGCGGACAGUGUCUGGUGGGUAGUUUGACUGGGGCGGUCUCCUCCUAAAGAGUAACGGAGGAGCACGAAGGUUGGCUAAUCCUGGUCGGACAUCAGGAGGUUAGUGCAAUGGCAUAAGCCAGCUUGACUGCGAGCGUGACGGCGCGAGCAGGUGCGAAAGCAGGUCAUAGUGAUCCGGUGGUUCUGAAUGGAAGGGCCAUCGCUCAACGGAUAAAAGGUACUCCGGGGAUAACAGGCUGAUACCGCCCAAGAGUUCAUAUCGACGGCGGUGUUUGGCACCUCGAUGUCGGCUCAUCACAUCCUGGGGCUGAAGUAGGUCCCAAGGGUAUGGCUGUUCGCCAUUUAAAGUGGUACGCGAGCUGGGUUUAGAACGUCGUGAGACAGUUCGGUCCCUAUCUGCCGUGGGCGCUGGAGAACUGAGGGGGGCUGCUCCUAGUACGAGAGGACCGGAGUGGACGCAUCACUGGUGUUCGGGUUGUCAUGCCAAUGGCACUGCCCGGUAGCUAAAUGCGGAAGAGAUAAGUGCUGAAAGCAUCUAAGCACGAAACUUGCCCCGAGAUGAGUUCUCCCUGAGACUUAAAGUCUCCUGAAGGAACGUUGAAGACGACGACGUUGAUAGGCCGGGUGUGUAAGCGCAGCGAUGCGUUGAGCUAACCGGUACUAAUGAACCGUGAGGCUUAACCUU
Molecule: ribosomal RNA, 3009 nt
Filed under: Salmonella enterica subsp. enterica serovar Shamba
Lineage: Bacteria; Pseudomonadati; Pseudomonadota; Gammaproteobacteria; Enterobacterales; Enterobacteriaceae
Description: 23S ribosomal RNA
Rfam family: Bacterial large subunit ribosomal RNA
Source: RNAcentral